Molecule: transfer RNA, 73 nt
Filed under: Helotiales sp.
Lineage: Eukaryota; Fungi; Ascomycota; Leotiomycetes; Helotiales
Description: tRNA-Asp
Source: RNAcentral
GGGUCGGUAUUCUAAUUGGUAAGAAGCUUUUUUGUCACAAAAGACGAUGUCGGAUCGAGGCCGGCUCGACCCG